CCCGGCACAAGCGGAGGAACAUGUGGUUUAAUUUCGAUUGAUACGCGAGGAACCUUACCUGGGCUUAAAUGCAGAGUGCAUGGAGUGGAAACACUUCUUCCCUUCGGGGCUCUUUGCAAGGUGCUGCAUGGUUGUCGUCAGCUCGUGCCGUGAGGUGUCGGGUUAAGUCCCAUAACGAGCGCAACCCUUAUCGUUAGUUGCCAGCGGGUAAAGCCGGGAACUCUAGCGAAACUGCCGGUGUAGACCGAGAGGAAGGUGGGGAUGACGUCAAAUCAGCACGGCCCUUAUGUCCAGGGCUACACACGUGUUACAAUGGCCGGUACAGAGGGCAGCUACCUGGAGACAGGAUGCGAAUCUCGAAAGCCGGUCUCAGUUCGGAUCGGAGUCUGCAACUCGACUGCAUGAAACUGGAAUCGCUAGUAAUCGUGGAUCAGAACGCCACGGUGAAUACGUUCCCGGGCCUU
This 464-nucleotide ribosomal RNA is filed under the name uncultured Sphingobacteriales bacterium. RNAcentral's name for it is "bacterial SSU rRNA". It matches the Rfam family "Bacterial small subunit ribosomal RNA", at positions 920 to 1382 of the family's 1533-position model. Lineage: Bacteria; Pseudomonadati; Bacteroidota; Sphingobacteriia; Sphingobacteriales. The record is from RNAcentral.